Molecule: ribosomal RNA, 508 nt
Filed under: uncultured Rhizophagus
Lineage: Eukaryota; Fungi; Glomeromycota; Glomeromycetes; Glomerales; Glomeraceae
Description: SSU rRNA
Rfam family: Eukaryotic small subunit ribosomal RNA
Source: RNAcentral
AGCAGCCGCGGUAAUUCCAGCUCCAAUAGCGUAUAUUAAAGUUGUUGCAGUUAAAAAGCUCGUAGUUGAAUUUCGGGGUCAGUAGGUUGGUCGUGCCACUGGUAUGCACUGGCCUCACUGAUUCCUCCUUCUUGUAGAACCGUAAUGCCAUUAGUUUGGUGUUGCGGGGAAACAGGACUGUUACUUUGAAAAAAUUAGAGUGUUUAAAGCAGGCUAACGCUUGAAUACAUUAGCAUGGAAUAAUGAAAUAGGACGCUCGAUCCUAUUUUGUUGGUUUCUAGGAUUGACGUAAUGAUUAAUAGGGAUAGUUGGGGGCAUUAGUAUUCAAUUGUCAGAGGUGAAAUUCUUGGAUUUAUUGAAGACUAACUACUGCGAAAGCAUUUGCCAAGGAUGUUUUCAUUAAUCAAGAACGAAAGUUAGGGGAUCGAAGACGAUCAGAUACCGUCGUAGUCUUAACCAUAAACUAUGCCGACUAGGGAUCGGAUGAUGUUAAUUUUUUAAUGACUCA